GAUGAACGCUGGCGGCGUGCCUAAUACAUGCAAGUCGAGCGAACAGAUAAGGAGCUUGCUCCUUUGACGUUAGCGGCGGACGGGUGAGUAACACGUGGGUAACCUACCUAUAAGACUGGGAUAACUUCGGGAAACCGGAGCUAAUACCGGAUAAUAUUUCGAACCGCAUGGUUCGAUAGUGAAAGAUGGUUUUGCUAUCACUUAUAGAUGGACCCGCGCCGUUUUAGCUAGUUGGUAAGGUAACGGCUUACCAAGGCGACGAUACGUAGCCGACCUGAGAGGGUGAUCGGCCACACUGGAACUGAGACACGGUCCAGACUCCUACGGGAGGCAGCAGUAGGGAAUCUUCCGCAAUGGGCGAAAGCCUGACGGAGCAACGCCGCGUGAGUGAUGAAGGUCUUCGGAUCGUAAAACUCUGUUAUUAGGGAAGAACAUACGUGUAAGUAACUGUGCACGUCUUGACGGUACCUAAUCAGAAAGCCACGGCUGACUACGUGCCAGCAGCCGCAGUAA
This 513-nucleotide ribosomal RNA is filed under the name uncultured bacterium. RNAcentral's name for it is "partial 16S ribosomal RNA". It matches the Rfam family "Bacterial small subunit ribosomal RNA", at positions 28 to 523 of the family's 1533-position model. The record is from RNAcentral.